GGUUCCAUGGUGUAGUGGUGAGCACGUCUGCUUUACAUGCAGGAGGUCCCGGGUUCACGCCCCAGUGGAGCCC
RNAcentral lists this transfer RNA (73 nucleotides) under Pteropus alecto (black flying fox). It matches the Rfam family "tRNA". From Rfam's summary of the family: Transfer RNA (tRNA) molecules are approximately 80 nucleotides in length. Their secondary structure includes four short double-helical elements and three loops (D, anti-codon, and T loops). The record is from Rfam by way of RNAcentral. Lineage: Eukaryota; Metazoa; Chordata; Mammalia; Chiroptera; Pteropodidae.